Molecule: ribosomal RNA, 301 nt
Filed under: uncultured bacterium
Lineage: Bacteria
Description: partial 16S ribosomal RNA
Rfam family: Bacterial small subunit ribosomal RNA
Source: RNAcentral
CAGCAGCCGCGGUAAUACGAAGGGUGCAAGCGUUAAUCGGAAUUACUGGGCGUAAAGCGUGCGUAGGCGGUUUGUUAAGUCUGCUGUGAAAUCCCCGGGCUCAACCUGGGAAUGGCAGUGGAUACUGGCAAGCUAGAGUGUGUCAGAGGAUGGUGGAAUUCCCGGUGUAGCGGUGAAAUGCGUAGAGAUCGGGAGGAACAUCAGUGGCGAAGGCGGCCAUCUGGGACAACACUGACGCUGAGGAGCGAAAGCGUGGGGAGCGAACAGGAUUAGAUACCCCCGUAGUCCCUGUCUCUUAUAC